RNAcentral lists this transfer RNA (87 nucleotides) under Steroidobacter agaridevorans. Its description in RNAcentral is "tRNA-Leu". It matches the Rfam family "tRNA". From Rfam's summary of the family: Transfer RNA (tRNA) molecules are approximately 80 nucleotides in length. Lineage: Bacteria; Pseudomonadati; Pseudomonadota; Gammaproteobacteria; Steroidobacterales; Steroidobacteraceae. The record is from RNAcentral.
GCCGGCGUGGCGGAACUGGUAGACGCAGCGGACUCAAAAUCCGCCGCCCUUAAAAGCGUGUGGGUUCGAUUCCCUCCGCCGGCACCA